AUUGAACGCUGGCGGCAUGCCUUACACAUGCAAGUCGAACGGCAGCACGUGAGCAAUCCUGGUGGCGAGUGGCGAACGGGUGAGUAAAGUAUCGGAACGUGCCCAGUCGUGGGGGAUAACGUAGCGAAAGUUACGCUAAUACCGCAUACGAUCUAGGAAUGAAAGCGGGUGAUCGCAAGACCUCGCGCGAUUGGAGCGGGCGGUAUCAGAUUAGGUGGUUGGUGGGGUAAAGGCUCACCAAGCCGACGAUCUGUAGCUGGUCUGAGAGGACGACCAGCCAAACUGGGACUGGGACACGGCCCAGACUCCUACGGGAGGCAGCAGUGGGGAAUUUUGGACAAUGGGCGCAAGCCUGAUCCAGCCAUGCCGCGUGCAGGAUGAAGGCCUUCGGGUUGUAAACUGCUUUUGUACGGAACGAAAAGGUUUGACUUAAUACGUUGGACUCAUGACGGUACCGUAAGAAUAAGCACCGGCUAACUACGUGCCAGCCGCCGCCGUAA
This 500-nucleotide ribosomal RNA is filed under the name uncultured bacterium. Its description in RNAcentral is "partial 16S ribosomal RNA". It matches the Rfam family "Bacterial small subunit ribosomal RNA", at positions 30 to 523 of the family's 1533-position model. The record is from RNAcentral.